GGAAGGUGAGCUCCCAUGCUUCCACAUCAGCCAAUGACUUCCCUAUUACGAGGAAAGGUCUUCCUAAUAUUCUCGUCACCUCAUAGUCGGCUUCGUAGUCCAGAAUUACAAAUUUAGCAGGCAAAUAAACUUAUCCACUCGAAUAAAAACAUCAUCAAUAAUACCAAGCAACAUCUUCAUUGUUCUAUCCGCCAUUUCCAAUCUCGUUGAACGAGCUCUCGAUUGACUAAUACCUAAAUUUUUGAACACGAAGUAAUGCAUAAAAUUGAUUCUUGGUCCCAAAUCACACAAUAACUUUG
Molecule: long non-coding RNA, 299 nt
Filed under: Nicotiana benthamiana
Lineage: Eukaryota; Viridiplantae; Streptophyta; Magnoliopsida; Solanales; Solanaceae
Description: long non-coding RNA (NBEN_LNC019178)
Source: RNAcentral